AGGAAGGGUAGGACAAGCCUGCUCUCUGGAAGCCCUGAGCAGGAGAUGCCCACCCCCUUGCUGUCAGACCCUGCCAGGGGCUCCAGGAUCCUCUGCUGGGUGGCUCUGUGUCUCCUGGGGGCAGGUCCCGUGGACACUGGCACUGUCCAGUCCCCAAGACACAUCAUCACAGAAAAGGGAGGACAAGCCACUCUGAAAUGCCACCCUGUCUCUGGCCAUCGCAGUGUAUACUGGUACCAGCAGGCCCAGGGCCAGGGCCCCAAGUUCCUCAUUCAGUACUAUGAUAAGACGGAGAGAAAUAAAGGCGAUAUCCCGGACCGGUUCUCAGCCCAACAGUUUUCUAACUACAGCUCGGAGCUGAAGUUGAGCACCCUGGAGAAGGGGGACUCGGCCAUGUUCCUCUGUGCCAGCAGCAUUGACACAGCCCUGCAGAGCCACCUCACACCUGUACCCAAACCUCCUGCUCCCACUGGGGAUGUGAGGGAGGGCGAACAGUGCAGCCCCAGCCCAGCCCCUGUGGUGCUGCGGUCCUUCCCCGACACUCCCUGCCACUGA
This is a non-coding RNA of Trichechus manatus latirostris (Florida manatee), 555 nucleotides long. NCBI's taxonomy places the organism in Eukaryota, Metazoa, Chordata, Mammalia, Sirenia, Trichechidae. The record is from the annotation of a RefSeq genome assembly.